AGCGUAGACGGUAAAGCAAGUCUGAAGUGAAAGCCCGGGGCUCAACCCCGGGACUGCUUUGGAAACUGUUUAACUAGAGUGCUGGAGAGGUAAGCGGAAUUCCUAGUGUAGCGGUGAAAUGCGUAGAUAUUAGGAGGAACACCAGUGGCGAAGGCGGCUUACUGGACAGUAACUGACGUUGAGGCUCGAAAGCGUGGGGAGCAACA
This 206-nucleotide ribosomal RNA is filed under the name uncultured bacterium. RNAcentral describes it as "partial 16S ribosomal RNA". It matches the Rfam family "Bacterial small subunit ribosomal RNA", at positions 568 to 773 of the family's 1533-position model. The record is from RNAcentral.